Molecule: ribosomal RNA, 917 nt
Filed under: uncultured archaeon
Lineage: Archaea
Description: bacterial SSU rRNA
Rfam family: Bacterial small subunit ribosomal RNA
Source: RNAcentral
AGAGUUUGAUCCUGGCUCAGGGUGAACGCUGGCGGCGGGCUUAAUGCAUGCAAGUCGAGCGUGCCUGUGACUUCGGUCACAAUAGGAAAGCGGCAGACGGCUGAGUAACGCGUGAGUAACUUGCCCUUUGGGGGGGUAUAGCCUUGUGAAAACGAGGAUAAUCCCGCAUAAGAUCCCCAAGCCCUGGUUUGGGGAUGAAAGCCUUCGGGCGCCAGAGGAGAGGCUCGCGUCCUAUCAGCUAGUUGGAGAGGUAACGGCUCACCAAGGCAUCGACGGGUAGCUGGUCUGAGAGGAUGAUCAGCCACACUGGGACUGAGACACGGCCCAUACUCCUACGGGAGGCAGCAGUGGGGAAUAUUGCACAAUGGGCGAAAGCCCGAUGCAGCGACGCCGCGUGCGGGAAGAAGGCCCUAGGGUUGUAAACCGCUUUCAGUAGGGAAGAAAAUGACGGUACCUACAGAAGAAGGUGCGGCCAACUACGUGCCAGCAGCCGCGGUGACACGUAGGCACCAAGCGUUAUCCGGAUUUAUUGGGCGUAAAGAGCUCGUAGGCGGCUCGGUAAGUCGGGUGUGAAAACUCUGGGCUCAACCCAGAGAGGCCACCCGAUACUGCUGUGGCUAGAGUACGGUAGGGGAGCGGGGAAUUCCUGGUGUAGCGGUGAAAUGCGCAGAUAUCAGGAGGAACACCAGCGGCGAAGGCGCCGCUCUGGGCCGUUACUGACGCUGAGGAGCGAAGCAUGGGUAGCAAACAGGAUUAGAUACCUCUGGUAGUCCAUGCCGUAAACGUUGGGCACUAAGUGUGGGUCUCAACACAACGAGAAUCUGCGCCGUCGCUAACGCAUUAAGAUGCCCCGCCUGGGGGAGUACGGUCGCAGACUAAAACUCAAGGGAUUUGACGCGGGGCCCGCACAAGCGGGU